UCGGUUGAUCCUGCCGGACCCCACUGCUAUCGGGAUAGGACUAAGACAUGCUAGUCGUGCGCUUCCUAGCUAACUUGGAAGCGCGGCACACAGCUCAGUAACACGUGGCUAACCUGCCCUUGGGACAAGAACACCCCCGGGAAACUGGGGCUAAUUCUCGAUGGGCGAAGAACUCUGGAAUGAGUCUUUACUUAAAAGAUGCUAAAGUUAUGCUCUUUAGCACCGCCCAAGGAUGGGGCCGCGGCCGAUCAGGUUGUUGGUGAGGUAAUGGCUCACCAAGCCUUUUACCGGUGCGGGCCGUGGGAGCGGGAGCCCGGAGAUGGGCACUGAGACAAGGGCCCAGGCCCUACGGGGCGCAGCAGUCGCGAAAACUUUGCAAUAAGCGAAAGCUUGACAGGGCUAUCCCGAGUGCCAUCCGCUGAGGAAGGCUUUUACCCAGUCUAGAACGCUGGGGGAAUAAGGAGAGGGCAAGUCUGGUGUCAGCCGCCGCGGUAAUACCAGCUCUCCGAGUGGUGUGGAUGUUUAUUGGGCCUAAAGCAUCCGUAGCUGGCUAGGUUAGUCCCCUGUUAAAUCCACCGAAUUAAUCGUUGGAUUGCGGGGGAUACUGCUUGGCUAGGGGACNAGAGAGGCAGACGGUAUUUCCGGGGUAGGGGUGAAAUCCUAUNAUCCCGGGAAGACCACCAGUGGCGAANGCUGUCUGCUAGAACGCGCCCGACGGUGAGGGAUGAAAGCUGGGGGANCGAACCGGAUUANAUACCCGGGUAGUCCCAGCUGUAAACGAUGCAGGCUAGGUGUUUG
Molecule: ribosomal RNA, 798 nt
Filed under: uncultured archaeon
Lineage: Archaea
Description: bacterial SSU rRNA
Rfam family: Archaeal small subunit ribosomal RNA
Source: RNAcentral